CUCCUUGCACACACCGCCCGUCGUUUCAUUGAAGUUUACCUUUUAGCGAGGUGAUAUCUCAUUGGUGUCAUCGAACUUGAGGCAAGCAACAAAGGGGAAA
This 100-nucleotide ribosomal RNA is filed under the name uncultured bacterium. Its description in RNAcentral is "partial 16S ribosomal RNA". The record is from RNAcentral.